GUAUAAUUAGGAUCCACUUUCCGGUUAUAUCCAUCGAGAUUGAUCGGACCUAUGCUAUAAAGUCCAUCCUAUUUUCUUUGUGGUCUAUGUUUCCAUUUUUUCAUUGUGCUUUUAUUCCAUUACAUAACUAAGUGACGAAUCAUUCCUAGUUGCUUAGCAUAUAAAUAAAAGCAAACUAUUCCUUCUUCCUUCUGCUUGUUUUUAAGCUUCUAUAGAAUUCAGAUUCCUUUAUGAUUCUUAAU
RNAcentral lists this long non-coding RNA (242 nucleotides) under Carica papaya (papaya). RNAcentral describes it as "long non-coding RNA (CPAP_LNC012996)". Lineage: Eukaryota; Viridiplantae; Streptophyta; Magnoliopsida; Brassicales; Caricaceae. The record is from RNAcentral.